Molecule: ribosomal RNA, 253 nt
Filed under: uncultured bacterium
Lineage: Bacteria
Description: partial 16S ribosomal RNA
Rfam family: Bacterial small subunit ribosomal RNA
Source: RNAcentral
UACGGGGGGGGCAAGCGUUGUUCGGAAUUACUGGGCGUAAAGGGCUCGUAGGUGGCCAACUAAGUCAGACGUGAAAUCCCUCGGCUUAACCGGGGAACUGCGUCUGAUACUGGAUGGCUUGAGUCCGGAAGAGGAGAAUGGAAUUCCUGGUGUAGCGGUGAAAUGCGCAGAUAUCAGGAAGAACACCCGUGGCGAAGGCGGUUCUCUGGGACGGUACUGACGCUGAGACGCGAAAGCGUGGGGAGCGAACAGG